GAUGAAGAACGCAGCGAAAUGCGAUAAGUAAUGUGAAUUGCAGAAUUCAGUGAAUCAUCGAAUCUUUGAACGCACAUUGCGCCCGCCAGUAUUCUGGCGGGCAUGCCUGUUCGAGCGUCAUUUCAACCAUCAAGCCCCCGGCUUGUGUUGGGGACCUGCGGCUGCCGCAGGCCCUGAAAAGCAGUGGCGGGCUCGCUGUCACACCGAGCGUAGUAGCAUACAUCUCGCUCUGGGCGUGCUGCGGGUUCCGGCCGUAAAACCACCUUCAUAACCCAAGGUUGACCUCGGAUCAGGUAGGAAGACCCGCUGAACUUAAGCAUAUCAAUAAGCGGAGGA
RNAcentral lists this unclassified non-coding RNA (336 nucleotides) under soil metagenome. Its description in RNAcentral is "partial contains 5.8S ribosomal RNA, internal transcribed spacer 2, and large subunit ribosomal RNA". The stretch from base 1 to 120 matches the Rfam family "5.8S ribosomal RNA", at positions 35 to 154 of the family's 154-position model. The record is from RNAcentral.